Molecule: ribosomal RNA, 406 nt
Filed under: Verrucomicrobiota bacterium
Lineage: Bacteria; Pseudomonadati; Verrucomicrobiota
Description: Verrucomicrobia bacterium partial 16S ribosomal RNA
Rfam family: Bacterial small subunit ribosomal RNA
Source: RNAcentral
UGGGGAAUAUUGGACAAUGGAGGCAACUCUGAUCCAGCAAUUCUGUGUGUGUGAAGAAGGUUUUAGGACUGUAAAACACUUUUAGUAGGGAAGAAAAAAAUGACGGUACCUACAGAAGAAGCGACGGCUAAAUACGUGCCAGCAGCCGCGGUAAUACGUAUGUCGCGAGCGUUAUCCGGAUUCAUUGGGCGUAAAGCGCGCGUAGGCGGUUUGUUAGGUCAGGAGUUAAAUCUGGGGGCUCAACCCCUAUCCGCUCCUGAUACCGGCAGGCUUGAGUCUGGUAGGGGAAGGCGGAAUUCCAAGUGUAGCGGUGAAAUGCGCAGAUAUUUGGAAGAACACCGGUGGCGAAGGCGGCCUUCUGGGCCACGACUGACGCUGAGGCGCGAAAGCUAGGGGAGCGAACAGG